GACGAACGCUGGCGGCGUGCUUAACACAUGCAAGUCGAACGAAGAGCGACGGAAGCUUGCUUCUAUCAAUCUUAGUGGCGAACGGGUGAGUAACGCGUAAUCAACCUGCCCUUCAGAGGGGGACAACAGUUGGAAACGACUGCUAAUACCGCAUACGAUCUAAUCUCGGCAUCGAGGAUAGAUGAAAGGUGGCCUCUACAUGUAAGCUAUCACUGAAGGAGGGGAUUGCGUCUGAUUAGCUAGUUGGAGGGGUAACGGCCCACCAAGGCGAUGAUCAGUAGCCGGUCUGAGAGGAUGAACGGCCACAUUGGGACUGAGACACGGCCCAGACUCCUACGGGAGGCAGCAGUGGGGAAUCUUCCGCAAUGGACGAAAGUCUGACGGAGCAACGCCGCGUGAGUGAUGACGGCCUUCGGGUUGUAAAGCUCUGUUAAUCGGGAGGAAAGGCCUUCUUGCGAAUAGUGAGAA
This 468-nucleotide ribosomal RNA is filed under the name Veillonella parvula. RNAcentral's name for it is "bacterial SSU rRNA". It matches the Rfam family "Bacterial small subunit ribosomal RNA", at positions 28 to 472 of the family's 1533-position model. The record is from RNAcentral. Lineage: Bacteria; Bacillati; Bacillota; Negativicutes; Veillonellales; Veillonellaceae.